RNAcentral lists this ribosomal RNA (321 nucleotides) under uncultured bacterium. RNAcentral describes it as "SSU rRNA". It matches the Rfam family "Bacterial small subunit ribosomal RNA", at positions 169 to 486 of the family's 1533-position model. The record is from RNAcentral.
CCGCAUACGCCCUACGGGGGAAAGCGGGGGAUCUUCGGACCUCGCGCUAUGAGAUGAGCCUGCGUUAGAUUAGCUAGUUGGUGGGGUAAAGGCCUACCAAGGCGACGAUCUAUAGCUGGUCUGAGAGGACGAUCAGCCACACUGGGACUGAGACACGGCCCAGACUCCUACGGGAGGCAGCAGUGGGGAAUAUUGGACAAUGGGCGAAAGCCUGAUCCAGCAAUACCGCGUGUGUGAAGAAGGCCUUAGGGUUGUAAAGCACUUUCAAUUGGGAGGAAAACCUACCGGUCAAUACCCGGUAGCUUGACAUUACCUUUAGAA